RNAcentral lists this ribosomal RNA (253 nucleotides) under uncultured bacterium. Its description in RNAcentral is "partial 16S ribosomal RNA". It matches the Rfam family "Bacterial small subunit ribosomal RNA", at positions 524 to 776 of the family's 1533-position model. The record is from RNAcentral.
UACAGAGGCCUCGAGCGUUAGGCGGAAUCACUGGGCUUAAAGCGUGUGUAGGCGGACCCCUAAGUACCUUGUGAAAUCCCACGGCUCACCCGUGGAACGGCUCGGUAUACUGGGUGUCUUGAGCCACUUAGGGGUUACCGGAACAAAUGGUGGAGCGGUGAAAUGCGUAGAUAUCAUUUGGAACGCCAAUGGUGAAAACAGGUAACUGGGAGUGUGCUGACGCUGAGACACGAAAGCCAGGGGAGCGAACGGG